UCCCCAGCAGUCCAGUGGUUAGGAUACCGUGCUCUCACUGCCGAGGGCCUGGGUUCAACUCCAGGUUGGGGAA
Molecule: transfer RNA, 73 nt
Filed under: Bos taurus (domestic cattle)
Lineage: Eukaryota; Metazoa; Chordata; Mammalia; Artiodactyla; Bovidae
Also listed under: 2 other names
Rfam family: tRNA
About the family: Transfer RNA (tRNA) molecules are approximately 80 nucleotides in length. Their secondary structure includes four short double-helical elements and three loops (D, anti-codon, and T loops). Further hydrogen bonds mediate the characteristic L-shaped molecular structure. tRNAs have two regions of fundamental functional importance: the anti-codon, which is responsible for specific mRNA codon recognition, and the 3' end, to which the tRNAs corresponding amino acid is attached (by aminoacyl-tRNA synthetases). tRNAs cope with the degeneracy of the genetic code in two manners: having more than one tRNA (with a specific anti-codon) for a particular amino acid; and 'wobble' base-pairing, i.e. permitting non-standard base-pairing at the 3rd anti-codon position.
Source: Rfam by way of RNAcentral